CUGGUAUGCACGGAGGGAGACGUUUACCAUCCUCAUCGUAAAGAUUGUCUCCACAAGGAGCUGAAGAAAAGAGAGGAAAGUGACAUUAUAGGACAAGAUCUUACUACCCUAAACAGCUUCUCCUGAGGUCUACACCUACACGCCCUACACAUAUCUGUCCUUGCCCAAGCUGCAUCAGGUGUGCAGAGAAACAUGAUUGAUUUGUGAAACUGAAACAUUUCUGGAAAAAUUGGUACAUGUACCCAUGCUAAUAUAAUUGUGGACUCUCAUUGCUUGUGCUACCAGCUGGAGAUGAAAAACCAUGUUACCUAUUUAUCAUAUCUCUUUUUGGCUCCCGCGCAAGGAAUCCCCCAGUGCUGAAGGGAAUAAAACAUCAGAUUUAAUGAACAAUGGUGAGAAGAACAUCGGAGAGAAUAUGGGAAAGAAGAAAGCACAAUUAGGAGAACAGACUGCUAUUAUAUUGUACAGGACAUGAAAAACAACUGGUGAACACUUAAAUAUUGUUAUCUUGAAAGCUAUAGAUAUAUAAGCAAGUAUUCCUUGGCAGCUGAGAUGAACAUUAUGUAGAAAAGCUGGAAGCAUGAGCCAAUACCAAGCAUAAUCUCAGGAGAAGGGCAGCUUUGUGGAGAAUGUGGAGAAUAUGAAACUAAGAGAAACACUGCAAGGAACUUAGUGAGUGCCUCACACAGAUGUCCAUGCUCCAAUCCUAUCUCAGUUAUCUUAGGACUCCUUCCUGAAAGGGGUCAGAAAUGGCUUUAUAGAUAAAUCCUCAGAAUCACUGGGCAUAUUCUUUCAUGCAUUUUUUGACUCAGCCAAAAUCUCCUAGCGACACUAAUUAGUGCAGGCUUUAUGCAUGAAGAGGUAGGCUCCUAAUGGUAAGUCUACAGAUAAUACAUUGGCAUCGUAUCUUAAGAAGUGAUUUGACUUACUGUUUGAAAAUUUUCAAAACAAUUUUAGUGUCCAUAUUUCCAAAGCAGAAGAAAUAAAAGAUAGCAAACAUCAUUAAGCUUCUUCACAACUAAAAUGUUCUUUAUAUUUCAAAAUACUUGCUUGUUGCCUUUUUAUUUAUAUGGGAAUUAAAAGAGUGUUGAGCAAUGGAUCUGCACAUCUCAGAGAAUCAGAUUACAUCCAGAGGAGAUGAUUACAUAGAUUUCUGGAGGAUGCAUACACUUUUCUUGACUGGGGCACCAGGCAUGACUCUAAUCUGAUAGAAGUUAUUUCCUAAAUUUCAAUCACUUAAUUGCUCAAGAAAAAUGUAAAAAUAAUGCCUGGUUGGAACUUUCAUCACUGUGGAGCUGCCCAUAUGAAAUGAGGACCAGCAUAAAGCCUGAUGUACCAAUUUUGGGAAGUUUCUUUGUACUGUGAUGAGAAUCAUAGCGUGAAGUUUAGCACCAGCUGAUGCCUUAUGCAGUAUCGUCAUGUUAAGUAACAAGCUGUUGUGGUUUAACCCAGCAGGUGGCUGAGCACCACAAAGUCAAUUGCUCACUCCUCCCCCUUCCCAGUGAGAUGUGGGAGAAUAUCAGGAAAAAAAAAAGCAGAACAUGUGGUUGAGAUAAAACUAUUUACUAAGAUAGAGACAAGGAAAAGGAUGAUAGUUAGGACUAUCCAUAGACAUAUGAAUGUACAUAACAGGUAAUGGACAAGCAAUUGCUUACCACCCCCUGACCAAUGUCCAGCUGGCCCCCCGAGCAGCAGAAGAGAAAAAGAUCAACUGCCACCCCCUUCAAAAUCCUGUAUGACGCCAGAUGGUAUGGAAUGUCCCUUUGGACAAUUUAAUCCAGCUGUACUAAUUCUGUUCCCUCCCAGCUCCUUGGGCCUUUGCUGAGAAUGGCCUUGGCUCUGUACCACACUGCUCAGCAGCAACUAUAAACAUCAGUGUGUUAUCAAUGUUGUUUUCCUCCUAGAACCAAACACAUAGCAUCAUACCAGACACUCCAAAAAAACUAUUCCAUCCUAGCUGAAAUUAGGAUACAAGCAAAUACUGCACAGAAAAUACUGUUUUUUCUUCCCUCCAUAUAUCUUUGGUUAAUAUAGCAGGAUUUACAGUUUUUCACUGAACAAUUAAACAAUUACUUCUAUCAAACAGAACUAUACUCCCCAGUGAAAAGAGUAUGUGCUGUAAGGAAUACUGUUUACUGUUUAUUUAAAAUUCUAAGGAGGAAGUUACAGAUCAGUUUAUUGUGUACUGUAUUAAGCUUGGGAAGAAAUUAGAUAAUGAUUUGCCUCUAAGCUGACCAGAGGCAGAAAAUGUGCACUCUGCAGAAGGAAAAUACACUUAGUAUUGAGGGAGGGAGUAUGAAACAUAAUUUUCCUAAGAAAUUAAAAAACUUUCUUUUCUCAGCUUCAGGGUUAAAAUAUUCUCUUUACCAAUGCCUGUGUUACAGCCAUCACUUCCCUAGUGAUAGAAUUAGGCAACCCAAAGAAUCAUGGUCUGAGGAGAAAGAUGUGCUAAUUUUCUUGCUUCUAUCUAUAGAAAUAAGCAACUUAAGCAAAAAAAUAUAAAAAUGUCAGCUAUAUCUGUUCCAGUUGUAAUUUGAAAACCAUAUAAAAAUGUAUUAAACUGUUUGUGUGCUAUUAAAAAGCAGUUGCUUAAGACAAAAGAAUGAAAUGGAAUUCUAUCAAAACUCACAGGAAAGAUCAUAUUUACAAAAAUUCACCAGGACAAUUAGUCAGAAGAAACCACUCAAAAACUGCACAGGUACAGUGAACACAAUUUCAAGACUUCUUUCUCAACAGACAUGAAUGCUGAAGAUUUUCUUUUCCUGAGCACACUUUUUUCUGCAGCUAAGUUAUGGUAGACAGGCAUUAAUCAUAUUGAGUGGUGCAUAGAACAGGCCUGUUGUAAAUCAGGAUCAUGCACAACUGGGAUCAUCAAGAACUUGGUGUCUUGUAGAAAAAGACUCUUUAUCUUCUUACACAGGAGAAGAAUAUGAAGCUGGUUUUAGAGGCUUUCCAGAAGACAAAAUCUCUGUUUCUAGGAGUC
Molecule: long non-coding RNA, 2983 nt
Organism: Lagopus muta (rock ptarmigan)
Lineage: Eukaryota; Metazoa; Chordata; Aves; Galliformes; Phasianidae
Exons: 4
Source: RefSeq, a predicted model, not a curated record